RNAcentral lists this ribosomal RNA (459 nucleotides) under Salmonella enterica subsp. enterica serovar Oranienburg. RNAcentral's name for it is "bacterial SSU rRNA". It matches the Rfam family "Bacterial small subunit ribosomal RNA", at positions 1 to 456 of the family's 1533-position model. Lineage: Bacteria; Pseudomonadati; Pseudomonadota; Gammaproteobacteria; Enterobacterales; Enterobacteriaceae. RNAcentral also lists the same sequence under 7 other names. The record is from RNAcentral.
AAAUUGAAGAGUUUGAUCAUGGCUCAGAUUGAACGCUGGCGGCAGGCCUAACACAUGCAAGUCGAACGGUAACAGGAAGCAGCUUGCUGCUUUGCUGACGAGUGGCGGACGGGUGAGUAAUGUCUGGGAAACUGCCUGAUGGAGGGGGAUAACUACUGGAAACGGUGGCUAAUACCGCAUAAUGUCGCAAGACCAAAGAGGGGGACCUUCGGGCCUCUUGCCAUCAGAUGUGCCCAGAUGGGAUUAGCUUGUUGGUGAGGUAACGGCUCACCAAGGCGACGAUCCCUAGCUGGUCUGAGAGGAUGACCAGCCACACUGGAACUGAGACACGGUCCAGACUCCUACGGGAGGCAGCAGUGGGGAAUAUUGCACAAUGGGCGCAAGCCUGAUGCAGCCAUGCCGCGUGUAUGAAGAAGGCCUUCGGGUUGUAAAGUACUUUCAGCGGGGAGGAAGGUGUUG